Molecule: long non-coding RNA, 414 nt
Filed under: Homo sapiens (human)
Lineage: Eukaryota; Metazoa; Chordata; Mammalia; Primates; Hominidae
Description: non-protein coding lnc-KIF20A-1:1
Source: RNAcentral
UAUGAACCUCAUCUUAACUAAUUACUAUUAUUGGGUUUCUGUUUUUGAGGCAGAUUCUGGCUCUGUCACCCAGGCUGGAGUUCAGACACAUUAAUCUGUGCAAGGAAAAAGCAUGGGAAGCUGGGAGAUCAGUGUGAUCUUGGGCAAGUCAUUUCUCUGAGUCUCAGUUUCCCCACCCUACCAACUCCCUGGGCUGCUAAGGGGAUUCAUUCCUUGGGCAGAUAUGUACUGAGCACUUGCAUCUUCCAGGCACUUUGGGUGCAGGUACACAAGGCAGAUCCACUAAGUCCCGCUCUUCUGGGGUUUACAGUCUGGACGGGAUAAAGAUACUGUAGAGAACCUUCUAUAGAUCACUUUAUAGUGUCACUGUGAUAAAUGCCAUGAAGUGCUGUGAGGGUGGGUGACACGGUGGUC